UGGGAUCCUACAACAUGGAUGGGAUGU
RNAcentral lists this non-coding RNA (27 nucleotides) under Mus musculus (house mouse). The record is from RNAcentral. Lineage: Eukaryota; Metazoa; Chordata; Mammalia; Rodentia; Muridae.